UCGCUUAGUCCUAAUUUCCUUACCAUAGCCAUUUCUUGUCUUCUUCCCUCUGUUUCCUCAGAGAUAUGUCACUCUAUUUUGGUGAAAGUUUCCUUCCCUUUGUAUACACAUAAAAUGUUUUGCCUUCUAUAUCAUUAAUUAAUGUAUCUUCAAUGAUUCAUUCAGCAAAUAAAGCCAAAAUGAGUUUUCAGAAAAUCUGAUUUAGAAUCAAACACCAAAGGAUUUGAUUUGUUUUUUCCAACGGCUCUUCUCAAUUACAGGUCUAUUUUUCAAUGGUUGUUUUGAUCAAGUUCAAAAUCAAAAUCAAGUUUUCCCGCCAAAAAACCCUAAUCUAAAUCUAUAAAUAUUAGUCAUUGUAGCCAUUUUUGGGGAGAAUUGAGAGCCACCGCCUAUAUUCCCCAUUGUAGGGGUUCAGCCGCUGCCUUCACCAUUCGAAACCAAACUCUUAGCCGCCCCUUUCGCCCCAAAAUUUGAGAGUUUCAGCCGCCCCCUUUACUAGAGAAAUACCUCUGUCCAUCACUGCAUAUGAUUCUCAAACUUACUGCUUUUCGCCCUUUACUCCUUUAAAACACUCUUUAAAAUCCUAGCUUUUCGUUUGAUAUUUCUCGCCUCUAUUGGUUAGUUUUUUAGUCAAAGUAGAGGUGUUUUGGUAUUUUUCCGGAAUCGUUCGAAGUAGUUAAUUCUAGGUCGGAGUCCAAUAAAUCCAAAACCCUCGCCCAGUUCACCACCCUGCAAAAGGUCCGUAUCUUUCCUUUUUAUGGAAUUUAUAGAAUGUUCAUGUUUUAGUAUGUAUUUGGCAAUGAGCUCUCAAUGUUCUGAAUAUUUUAUCUUUUAUCUGGGGUGCUUUUUGUUGAUUAUUUGACAUUAUUCUGUUUCAAGUCGUCAUUUUGUGUUCUUUGAUUCAUGGGAAAUCAUGGGUUAGAAAACUUUAUUUGCUAUAUGAGUAUUAGAAACAUGUACUAGGACUCUCUCUCUCUCUUUAUUAGAAAGUAUAUAUACUAGCUUGUUCAAAUCGUCGCUAGGUUGGAACCCUUGUUGAAUCUCUGUGCGCAUAACAUGUUAAGACUUCUAUUGAUUACUUAAAUAGACAAUAUAAAUUUAUAUGCUAAAUUUACUCCAUAAUUUCAAUAGCAUGCUGUUCAAAAUAUAGGAUACAGCUCUUAGCCUACUGUCAACCUGACUUAAUGACAUGAAAUAAGAUUAGUACUUUGGUACAUAGUAUUUAAUUUUUCUUUUCAUAAUAUGAAAGAAAGUACUUAUAAGAAUAUGUAUCUGCUAGUAGAAUCCAAGUGCUAUGUCUGAGGUUAGUAUGAUAUAUAAAGAAAAUAUCUUCUUGUACAAGUAUGUGAUUUUCUGAUUCUGUUAUUUCAUCUCUCCUAGUUAUUAAAAACCAGAACUUAUUUUUAUGGAUCAUUAAAAUUAAAACGAAACCUAGAAAAGGGCGUAAAUAAGUUUAUGUCACCUGUGAUUCAUCAAUUUGCGGGGUACAUGAAAUUGUGCAAUUUUCUUUACAAAGACAUGUUAGGUAGUAUUUUUAGGAUUCUUUCUUUGUAGCUAAAGUUUGGCAGAAUAUUAUGUAUGAAUUUAAAAGGUAUUUGAUGUUGUUUAGGAAGUAUCAAUUUAGAUUUAGUUCUUUCUUUUUGCUUCUCAUCUAAAAUACAUGAUAUUAGAACAUAUCUAUAUUCUGAAACACUAUUUAUUAAACAUGUUCAUUUGUACGUAUAAACAAGGCUUGCUGAAAGUAUAGAGUCAUUUGUCCUGUUGUGAGCCCUUAUGAUUCAAUGCAAGUUGAUAUUUUUGAUUCAUGUCUGUUCUUCCUCAUUUUUAUACUUAUCCUAUAUUUCCUUUUUCCAAUUGAUGCUUUUUUCUCUUUUGCAUAUGCAUUUGGAGCAAAAUAUGGAAUCUUAAUACAAGACUCACCAACACACCCCGAGUAUGACGUCAUAUCUCAUAUUUUUAUAGAUGCACCGGAUAGCAAAAAAACAAGCGGAACGCUUGGGAUGCCUAUGACGUCUUUCUUUUCAUUAUUAUUCUUGCUAUUUAACUCCACUUGUGUGAUUUGACUUCAUUUUUAUUUUGAGAGUAUGUGUUAAAAUUCAUACUAGCAUGAUUGUAUUUAGUUAUCCUUGGUACUAUUUUAAUCACAUAAGAUAUAGGCUUCAGAUGCAAGAAUUUGAAAUUUGUUUUCUUUAAAAUAAUGCUUUCAAAAACGUUUCAUUAAAAUCUUUUCUAAUGGAGUUGAAUAAGCACAAGAUGUUUAAGACUACUUGAGUAUUUUUCUAAAAGUACACAUGAAGGCGUUGACAUUUCUUUUAAAUUGCCCUUUUUCAAAUUAGUUUUUAACUGUUUCAUAUUAAUUAUUUUGUAUAGUUCUCACAUUUUUUUAAGCCAUUAAUUAAUUAAGUUUGGCCGGUUAAUCGUAUUUAUCGAAGCAUAUAUGAUGCUUUCACAAUCUUUCCUAUAGGAUUAACUAGAACCCUUAUCUAGAUUUUUUAAGGCUAAGUAGCCCAUAAACAAAGUUAAAUUUUAAGCAUUACUUAGUCAAUAGGUGUCUUAAUUCAUGUUUAAAAUAAUUAGGUGGUGACUCUCUUUAACUAAUUGAACCUUCAGAAUUAUCAAUAUAUUAUACUUUAGUUUGACCUAUGUUAAAAUGGGGUAUAACAGAGCUGAAUGUUGGCCAAUCAAGAUCGCUCAUGUCUAGAAGAUAAAGGUAGAAAAGAUGAGGAUAUUGAGAUGGAUGUGUGGGCACACUAUGUUAGAUAGGAUUAGAAAUGAGGUUAUUCGCAACAAGGUGGGUGUGGCCCCUAUUGAGGACAAGAUGCGGGAAUUGCGGCUUAGGUGGUUUGGUCAUGUGAGGAGGAGGAGUACAGACGCCACAGUUAGAGGGUGUGAGAGGUUAACAUUGGAGGGCCUACGAGAGGUAGAGGUAGGUCAAAGAAGAGGUGGGGAGAGGCGAUUAGGCAAGCCAUGACGCAGCUUCAACUAACCGAGGACAUGGCCCUUGAUAGGAAGGUACGGAGGUCGAGGGUUAGGGUUGUAGAGUAUAUAGUCUAGAGUAUUCAUAAUAGUAGUAUUUUGGCAUGCAGUCGCACUUUAUGUUGGUAGUUGGUAUUUAUGACUAACCGUUAUUCUCUUUCAUUAUUGAUCAUCUUACUAUCUUGUUGUUUUCAUUCUACUUUUAUAUGGCUUUUUGGUAUUGUCGCUUCGUGUCUAUAUUUUCAUUAAUGUGGUGCUUAUGCUUUCCUGAAACGAAGGUCUGUUGGAAACAACCUAUCUAUUCUCAUAAGGCAGAAGUAAGGUAUGCAUAUACAUUACUCUCUCCAGAUUCUACUGUACGGGAUAAUACUGAGCAUGCUAUUGUUAUUGUUGUUAUUGGUGUUGUUCAAGGAAGAGCUAAGUAGAAAAAAUGCUGCUGUAAUCGGAGAAUUGAAUUUUGGUUGAAUUUUAUGUUGUUAAGUGGUCUUAAAUCUCACAAGAUCAAUUCAAUUUUUCUUCGAUACAUAUGCUAGUUUAAAUUUAUUCAUUCUGCCACACC
Molecule: long non-coding RNA, 3535 nt
Filed under: Nicotiana benthamiana
Lineage: Eukaryota; Viridiplantae; Streptophyta; Magnoliopsida; Solanales; Solanaceae
Description: long non-coding RNA (NBEN_LNC019873)
Source: RNAcentral